GAUCAUGGCUCAGGAUGAACGCUAGCUACAGGCUUAACACAUGCAAGUCGAGGGGCAGCAUGUUGGUUGCUUGCAACCAAUGAUGGCGACCGGCGCACGGGUGAGUAACGCGUAUCCAACCUACCCUUGUCCAUCGGAUAACCCGUCGAAAGGCGGCCUAACACGAUAUGCGGUUCACAGCAUGCAUCUAACGUGAACGAAAUGUGAAGGGAGAAGGAUGGGGAUGCG
Molecule: ribosomal RNA, 228 nt
Filed under: uncultured bacterium
Lineage: Bacteria
Description: partial 16S ribosomal RNA
Rfam family: Bacterial small subunit ribosomal RNA
Source: RNAcentral